This 253-nucleotide ribosomal RNA is filed under the name uncultured bacterium. Its description in RNAcentral is "partial 16S ribosomal RNA". It matches the Rfam family "Bacterial small subunit ribosomal RNA", at positions 524 to 776 of the family's 1533-position model. The record is from RNAcentral.
UACGUAGGGUGCAAGCGUUAUCCGGAAUUAUUGGGCGUAAAGGGCUCGUAGGCGGCCAACUAAGUCGGAUGUGAAAUCCCCAAGCUUAACUUGGGAACUGCAUCCGAUACUGGAUGGCUUGAAUCCGGGAGAGGGAUGCAGAAUUCCAGGUGUAGCGGUGAAAUGCGUAGAUAUCUGGAGGAAUACCGGUGGCGAAGGCGGCAUCCUGGACCGGCAUUGACGCUGAGGAGCGAAAGCUAGGGGAGCAAACGGG